RNAcentral lists this ribosomal RNA (253 nucleotides) under uncultured bacterium. RNAcentral's name for it is "partial 16S ribosomal RNA". It matches the Rfam family "Bacterial small subunit ribosomal RNA", at positions 524 to 776 of the family's 1533-position model. The record is from RNAcentral.
UACGUAGGGUGCGAGCGUUGCCCGGAUUUAUUGGGCGUAAAGGGCGCGCAGGCGGCUACGCACGUCCGUUGUGAAAUCGCUCGGCUCAACUGGGCGGGGUCAGCGGAUACGGCGUAGCUGGAGCAAGCUAGGGGGCAAUGGAAUUCCCGGUGUAGUGGUGGAAUGCGUAGAUAUCAGGAGGAACACCGGUGGCGAAGGCGGGUCUCUGGGCAGUAACUGACGCUGAGAAGCGAAAGCGUGGGGAGCGAACAGG